Parelaphostrongylus tenuis is the source of this 70-nucleotide non-coding RNA. The record is from the annotation of a GenBank genome assembly. NCBI's taxonomy places the organism in Eukaryota, Metazoa, Nematoda, Chromadorea, Rhabditida, Metastrongylidae.
GCGUCCGUGGCGCAACGGUUUAGCACAUACCCUCGGAAUGAAGAUCUGGGUUCGAAUCUCAGCUGACGCG